Molecule: long non-coding RNA, 264 nt
Filed under: Setaria viridis
Lineage: Eukaryota; Viridiplantae; Streptophyta; Magnoliopsida; Poales; Poaceae
Description: long non-coding RNA (SVIR_LNC010309)
Source: RNAcentral
ACUAAUUGUUCUUCUUCUGAGGUGACCUCCCAUUCCGCUCCAAAGCACGAAGGCGCGAGGCCUCUGCCGCCGCCAGGAUGACGGGCCGAGGAAGUAGACGGACCCUAUCGGUGGGAAACCGCUGGCCGCCGUUCCUCUCCAUGUAGUCCAGGAUCGUGCGGGCUGUCAAAGUGACGUCAUCUCCAGGAACGUCACGACGACGACCCCUCAUGACUGGAGAUCGGCGACGGCUUUCAUUCACCACGGCAUCCAAGACUGCACGAG